CCGCUCGCUGGCUCCGCUCCUUGGCGCAGUCAGGGUCUCUCCGGCUGUCCCUGGUUUCUGCUACGCAGGCAUCGCUGUGCCGGAGAGCAACGCACGCUGCCGCUGUGGCUGGUACCUUGAGCCUCUGGCGCUCUGCAGAGCUCUCCUCUUCACCUUCACCUGUCUCCUAGCAACCCAGCAUCCCUGCGGCAGGGUACCACUUUGAGCAUCCUUCUGCUGCCCCAGCUCCCGGCCCCUUCUCUUCCUCAGGAAGGAGGAAACGAGCCGCGCUGCUCCUGCCUGCCUAGGCAGCCCACUGCUGUCUGCUAGCGAAAGCACCUGCCUGUCCUGAUCCAAGAAAACCUCUCUGAAACUGCUUCAGCAGAUGAAGGUACAGAGAGAAGCUCAGGGAAAUGCCGGCAGCUGCAGCCAGGGGUAAACAACAGUGUCACUCAGCGAAGAUGGUGCCAGCAAACUGCUCGCUGUCCCAGGGCAGAUAACCUUGCCAGAAGGUUCAUGAUCAUAGCACCAAAGAGUCAGAGAGGUCAUGGAAAAAGAGCCUCAAAAGAUAACACAGCCCAGCACCCUGCUCAGAGGCAGGUUACAGCACAUCAUACGUGCCAUUCUUCUGUCUGUUAUCCUGGCUGGAAGACAGGCCACGGCCAUAAUAUAGUCCCAGUACGGAAAGAAAAGACCACGGGCAGUGGGAGACCUUUUGGGCCUGAUACUGCCACGCGUUGCUGGCGACACAGGAUAGGAGAAGUCUCCUGACCACAGUCUAGCGAGCUGCCACAAACUACAACAUCACAUGAGUCUCCGCUGAUCAAGAUCUCAGAAGCAGUUCACGCCUUGCCUUCUUCUUCUCAGAAGAAGUUCACGCUUCUCUGAAGAGACACUGGGCCAAGGACCUUGCAGUUUGGACUUUCUCCUAAGCCCUAGGGUAAUGUAGUCAUGUGCUCCAAUACCUGUCAAAAUGCCCUGAACAGUUACUGAUUUUCAGAAAGUGAAUUCAGCUAGCAAAGUCUCCAUGCAAGCAAAAUAUACUCAAGGAAGGAACGCAUUUCUUACCUAUUUGCUCCUUUCCCAUAGCCAGGCGGGUCUGUGGCUCAGCCGAGCCGUUUACGUAGCUCUACAAACCCGUGGGGUUGUUAUCUGGUCGCUGCACCUUUCUGAUCUGCAAACAGCCCGUCAUGCUGACUGAUCAGCCAUCGGUGAGACGUCAGCUGGAGUGGAAACCCAGCCGGGGAGCAGAGCGCCGCUGACUUGAAUCAUUUGUUGCUACAUCCUUGCUGCUUAGAUCUAGCCCACUAAAGUCCACAUUUAUUUGACUUGGGGCUACACUAGGCUCCUGAGCCCUGAAAUGCACGCUGUGUCUGGUGCAUGUCGGGUACCGUCUGCACGAGGCCUGCUGCCACAUGCAGCCCCAAGUGGCAUGGGGGAAAGAGCUACUACAAGCCAACCAAUUUCCCUUCUGCAUGUUUAUUACCCAGGUAGAACAUGCUUUUGCUGAGAAGCUGGGGAAUCUCCCGGUACAAAUCCGUAGUGCUCUCUAUUCUGAAUCUGCUCCUCUUACCAUGCCCGCAGGGAGCCCCAAUUUUAGGGCUGCCCAUUUGCCCUGUUCCUCUCUGAUACCCUACAGAAGCUGCCAUGACCUAUUAUACUGCAGGUGUCCGUGACCAUCAUGUCUCAAACGCAGCAUCCUUCAUCUCCAACCUCUUGCCAGUGGGAUCCACGAGGGCAGAUUUUCCCAGCUGCACAGGAAACCUGCAGGACCGAUUCCCUGCUGACCUCAACUCUUCUGCUCUCAGUGAGGUUGAACUUGACCUAGAAAAGUAGUUUCUGUUGUUGGGUUCGUGGGAGGAUGUUUUGUUUGUCAUGUCUGUG
Struthio camelus australis is the source of this 1863-nucleotide long non-coding RNA. RefSeq lists it as uncharacterized. Lineage: Eukaryota; Metazoa; Chordata; Aves; Struthioniformes; Struthionidae. The record is from RefSeq and is a predicted model, not a curated record.